UGCACUGUCUCUUCCCUGGCU
Molecule: microRNA, 21 nt
Filed under: Helianthus annuus (common sunflower)
Lineage: Eukaryota; Viridiplantae; Streptophyta; Magnoliopsida; Asterales; Asteraceae
Source: RNAcentral